GACGAACGCUGGCGGCGUGCUUAACACAUGCAAGUCGAACGGAAAGGCCCUGCUUUGGUGGGGUUCUCGAGUGGCGAACGGGUGAGUAACACGUGAGUAACCUGCCCUUGACUUUGGGAUAACUUCAGGAAACUGGGGCUAAUACCGGAUAGGAGCUCCUGCUGCAUUGUGGGGGUUUGAAAGUUUCGGCGGUUGGGGAUGGACUCGCGGCUUAUCAGCUUGUUGGUGGGGUAGUGGCUUACCAAGGCUUUGACGGGUAGCCGGCCUGAGAGGGUGACCGGCCACAUUGGGACUGAGAUACGGCCCAGACUCCUACGGGAGGCAGCAGUGGGGAAUAUUGCACAAUGGGCGGAAGCCUGAUGCAGCAACGCCGCGUGCGGGAUGACGGCCUUCGGUUUGUAAACCGCUUUCGCCUGUGACGAAGCGUGAGUGACGGUAAUGGGUAAAGAAGCACCGGCUAACUACGUG
Molecule: ribosomal RNA, 468 nt
Filed under: uncultured bacterium
Lineage: Bacteria
Description: partial 16S ribosomal RNA
Rfam family: Bacterial small subunit ribosomal RNA
Source: RNAcentral